Molecule: ribosomal RNA, 468 nt
Filed under: uncultured bacterium
Lineage: Bacteria
Description: partial 16S ribosomal RNA
Rfam family: Bacterial small subunit ribosomal RNA
Source: RNAcentral
GACGAACGCUGGCGGCGUGCUUAACACAUGCAAGUCGAACGGCAAGGCCCUGCGUUUGUGGGGUUCUCGAGUGGCGAACGGGUACGUAACACGUGAGUAACCUACCCUUGACUUUGGUAUAACUUCAGGAAACUGGGGCUAAUACAGGAUAGGAUCUCCUGCUGCAUGGAGAGGGUUGGAAAGUUUCGGCGGUCGGGGAUGGACUCGCGGCUUAUCAGCUUGCUGGUGGGGUAGUGGCUUGCCCAGCCAUUGAAGGGUCGCCGGCCUGAGAGGGUGACCGGCGACAUGGGGACUGCGGUACGGCCCAGACUCCUACGGGAGGCAGCAGUGGGGAAUAUUGCACAAUGGGCCGAAGCCUGAUGAAGCGACGCCGCGUGCGGGAUGACGGCCUUCGGGGUGUAAACCGCUUUAGCCUGUGACGAAGCGGGAGUGACGGUAAUGGGUAAAGAAGCACCGGCUAACUACGUG